This 378-nucleotide unclassified non-coding RNA is filed under the name uncultured Pseudomonadota bacterium. Its description in RNAcentral is "uncultured proteobacterium contains 16S-23S intergenic spacer region". The record is from RNAcentral. Lineage: Bacteria; Pseudomonadati; Pseudomonadota.
UCACGUCUUACGACGGCAGUUUCACUAGAGUUCCCAGCGUUACCUGAUGGCAACUAGUGAUGGGGGUUGCGCUCGUUGCGGGACUUAACCCAACACCUCACGGCACGAGCUGACGACAGCCAUGCAGCACCUGAACCGGCAGUCCCCGAAGGGAAAGUCCUAUCUCUAGGACGGUCCACCGUUGUCUAGCCCAGGUAAGGUUCUUCGCGUUGCGUCGAAUUAAACCACAUGCUCCACCGCUUGUGCGAGCCCCCGUCAAUUCCUUUGAGUUUUAAUCUUGCGGCCGUACUCCCCAGGCGGAGAGCUUAAUGCGUUAGCUGCGCCACCGAACAGUAUACUGCCCGACGGCUAGCUCUCAUAGUUUACGGCGUGGACUAC